Molecule: long non-coding RNA, 619 nt
Filed under: Gossypium barbadense (sea-island cotton)
Lineage: Eukaryota; Viridiplantae; Streptophyta; Magnoliopsida; Malvales; Malvaceae
Description: long non-coding RNA (GBAR_LNC007599)
Source: RNAcentral
UGCCUGAGCCGAGCUUUCAUUAUCUGGUUUGAAAUAAAAAUAAAAUGCUAAAAUUCCAACCUUAAAUUUUAUUCGAGAAUGGGAUUAGGGUUCUUGCUAGACAAUAACAUUAUAUUCAACUAAAAAAUUAAGUGAUGAAUAUAUAUUAAAUACCCUUUGCAUCUAAAACUUGAAAUAAAAUGAGCCCACAUUCUUAAAUAAAGUUGGAUGAUAAUAUCAAGUUAUCCUCACAUGUCCUUAAAGCUCCAAUUCCUCCUCACCCCACUACUUCUCACCAGCUUAGGUUCAUCAUUGUCAGAUUCAAAUGCCGUAGCUCCGUAAGGGGAAUCGAUUGUCUUUAGGCGGCGAUGACCCUUGUUUAUCUUAUUUUUAGCGAUCACCAAUGAUGUUGGCUCAUGAUCACUUUUAAUUUCAUUGUAAUAUGUGGGGCUAAUGCCUGAACAACUUGUACCAACCCUUUCUUUACAAUUCUUUUCUUUAGCACAAUAUUCCCUAUAAUUGUUUGAAUUUUAUCUGUGUUGGCAAAUCAAGCAAUUGAGGCUCAUGGUCGCUUUGGUUUUUGUUUGUCCCCCCAUACCAAUAUGAAUAUUUCUUUUAUCGAGAUUUGAAGGGCAAUUCG